GCGGUGGAAUGCGCAGAUAUCAGGAGGAACACCGAUGGCGAAGGCAGAUCUCUGGGCCGUAACUGACGCUGAGGAGCGAAAGCGUGGGGAGCGAACAGGAUUAGAUACCCUGGUAGUCCACGCCGUAAACGUUGGGAACUAGAUGUGGGGACCAUUCCACGGUCUCCGUGUCGCAGCUAACGCAUUAAGUUCCCCGCCUGGGGAGUACGGCCGCAAGGCUAAAACUCAAAGGAAUUGACGGGGGCCCGCACAAGCGGCGGAGCAUGCGGAUUAAUUCGAUGCAACGCGAAGAACCUUACCAAGGCUUGACAUAUACGAGAACGGGCUAGAAAUAGUCAACUCUUUGGACACUCGUAAACAGGUGGUGCAUGGUUGUCGUCAGCUCGUGUCGUGAGAUGUUGGGUUAAGUCCCGCAACGAGCGCAACCCUCGUUCUAUGUUGCCAGCACGUAAUGGUGGGAACUCAUAGGAGACUGCCGGGGUCAACUCGGAGGAAGGUGGGGAUGACGUCAAAUCAUCAUGCCCCUUAUGUCUUGGGCUUCACGCAUGCUACAAUGGCCGGUACAAAGGGCUGCAAUACCGUAAGGUGGAGCGAAUCCCAAAAAGCCGGUCUCAGUUCGGAUUGAGGUCUGCAACUCGACCUCAUGAAGUCGGAGUCGCUAGUAAUCGCAGAUCAGCAACGCUGCGGUGAAUACGUUCCCGGGCCUUGUACACACCGCCCGUCAAGUCAUGAAAGUCGGUAACACC
RNAcentral lists this ribosomal RNA (746 nucleotides) under Leifsonia sp. 2B4. Its description in RNAcentral is "bacterial SSU rRNA". It matches the Rfam family "Bacterial small subunit ribosomal RNA", at positions 678 to 1421 of the family's 1533-position model. The record is from RNAcentral. Lineage: Bacteria; Bacillati; Actinomycetota; Actinomycetes; Micrococcales; Microbacteriaceae.